Molecule: non-coding RNA, 24 nt
Filed under: Mus musculus (house mouse)
Lineage: Eukaryota; Metazoa; Chordata; Mammalia; Rodentia; Muridae
Source: RNAcentral
GGCAAAGCUCUCCACCUCUCCAGC